Salvia hispanica is the source of this 856-nucleotide non-coding RNA. The record is from RefSeq and is a predicted model, not a curated record. NCBI's taxonomy places the organism in Eukaryota, Viridiplantae, Streptophyta, Magnoliopsida, Lamiales, Lamiaceae.
CUUACUGUUAUGGAUGGCUUAGUGGUGGAAGAUGAUGUUAGACUUGCUGUGUAUUUGUUGAUGUUACUUGGGCAGAUUCUACUAUCAAAUUAUAUAUGCAUAUGCUUGUAAAUAUAUGAAAGAAAAGAAAGGUUUGGGGGUUUACCUUAGGAUGUGGAACAAAGUGUUGUUGGAUUGGGGAUUUGAUCCUACAAUUAUCUGCAAUACUCCCUCCUCGUACUCCUGUAUUAUAUGUGGGUGUAGAGAGAAUGUUUGAUAGUGAUGGAUGGCUAUUUCAGGAAACUUUGUGGGUUUAUAUACUUGCUUCCUUGCAAGUUGAGGAAAGUGGAAGGAGGUUUAUCUUGGGGAGGCUUAACUUCAUUGUCAUAUUUGUCAGAGAUAUUUUCUCUUUGAGGACGUGAUCUAUGGCCAAAAAGUGUUUUGAGUAAUGAGGGAUUAUACUAGGCGUUGAUCUCUCUUCAUUAGCGUUUAAAUGCCCACUUGCAAUAAAAAAAUACUUCUUUUAUAUGGUAUGUGAAUCUUAAAAAAAAAACAUUUCGUCAGCAAAUCUUGUUAGGAGCACUCAUUUGGGAAGUCGGUGAUGCUCAAAGGUGUGUCGGACUUAGUUGGGACGCGAGCAUUUGUAGUCAAGUGGAAUGUUUGAGACUUGCACACCUCUCUCACUUCCGAUUGGAUACGAGCACGACCGUUUUAAGGGCUGUCCGGACUUGCACAUUUCUCUAAUUGUAAUAGAUUAGGAAUUCGAUAAAUUUGUAUAAUAGUACAUUAGCGGACUUCGGAGAUGUGUCGGACAUUAUACACUUUUAUUUGGUGUUACUCUUUUAGUUUUACUUGAAAUGUUCUUUUGAGAACGAAA